Molecule: long non-coding RNA, 390 nt
Organism: Neoarius graeffei (lesser salmon catfish)
Lineage: Eukaryota; Metazoa; Chordata; Actinopteri; Siluriformes; Ariidae
Exons: 3
Source: RefSeq, a predicted model, not a curated record
CAACAAGUGUUCCAUUACUGAUAUAACCUACAGUUUCGUCUAUGAUGGAAAAGGCUCCACUGAGGCAGAAGCAAAGCAGGAUGCCCUGCAGAAAGCCCUGGACAUGCUAACUUUGCUCUUUGGGUUCAAGUCUUUGCCAAAGUGUCGCACAGUUGAGGAAACAGAGGUUCAGAUUAAUAAGUUACUGACAACAAAAGAUCAAAAAGACCUCAUUUAUUCACUCAAAUGCAACCUAUAUAAAAGCUCAGUUGAGCUCCUGUUCAAAGAUUAUACCAUGGAGAGCACACACGAAAAGAAGAAAAAAGAAAAUAUUAAUCAUCUCAGUAAACGCAUUCUGGGUCUGCUAGCAGUGGAGCCAGAACCAAAUAGUGUAUCUUUAAGAAACUGUCU